AAUCCGUCGAUUUCAAAAAUCAUGAGGGUUCAAGUCC
This 37-nucleotide transfer RNA is filed under the name Helichrysum stoechas. RNAcentral's name for it is "partial tRNA-Leu". The record is from RNAcentral. Lineage: Eukaryota; Viridiplantae; Streptophyta; Magnoliopsida; Asterales; Asteraceae. RNAcentral also lists the same sequence under 1 other name.